UUCCCGGUUGAUCCUGCCCGGAGGCUACCGCUAUUGGAAUUCGAUUAAGCCAUGCGAGUCGAGAGAUUUCGGAUCUCGGCAGACGUCUCAGUAACACGUGGAUAAUCUGCCCUUGAGUGGGGGAUAAGCUUGGUAACCUGAGUAUAAUACCCCAUAGGUCUAGGAUGCUGGAAUGCUUCUGGGCUGAAAGCUCCGGCGCUCAAGGAUGAAUCUGCGACCUAUCAGGCUGUAGUGGGUGUAACGGACCCACUAGCCUUCGACGGGUACGGGCCUUGAGAGAGGUUGCCCGGAGUUGGACUCUGAGACACGAGUCCAGGCCCUACGGGGUGCAGCAGGCGCGAAAACUUCACAAUGUGGGAAACCGCGAUGAGGGGAUUCCAAGUGCCAGCACAAUGUGUUGGCUGUUCACCUGCCUAAAAAGCUGGUGAAGUAAGAGCCGGGUAAGACGGGUGCCAGCCGCCGCGGUAAUACCUGCGGCUCGAGUGGUGGUCGUUAUUAUUGAGCCUAAAGCGUCCGUAGCCGGUUUAGUAAAUUUCUGGGUAAAUCGGGCAGCUCAACUGUCCGAAUUCCGGAAAGACUGCUAAACUUGGGACCGGGGGAGGUUGGAGGUACUCCUGGGGUAGGGGUGAAAUCCUGUAAUCCUGGGGGGACCACCAGUGGCGAAGGCGUCCAACCAAAACGGAUCCGACGGUAAGGGACGAAGCCCUGGGGCGCAAACGGGAUUAGAUACCCCGGUAGUCCAGGGUGUAAACGCUGCAGGCUUGGUGUUGGGGGUCCUACGAGGGCGCCCAGUGCCGGAGAGAAGUUGUUAAGCCUGCCGCUUGGGGAGUACGUCCGCAAGGAUGAAACUUAAAGGAAUUGGCGGGGGAGCACAGCAACGGGUGGAGCGUGCGGUUCAAUUGGACUCAACGCCGGU
RNAcentral lists this ribosomal RNA (916 nucleotides) under uncultured archaeon. Its description in RNAcentral is "bacterial SSU rRNA". It matches the Rfam family "Archaeal small subunit ribosomal RNA", at positions 1 to 922 of the family's 1478-position model. The record is from RNAcentral.